CAGUCGCCACGGUAAUACGGAGGGUGCAAGCGUUAAUCGGAAUUACUGGGCGUAAAGCGCACGCAGGCGGUUUGUUAAGUCAGAUGUGAAAUCCCCGAGCUUAACUUGGGAACUGCAUUUGAAACUGGCAAGCUAGAGUCUUGUAGAGGGGGGUAGAAUUCCAGGUGUAGCGGUGAAAUGCGUAGAGAUCUGGAGGAAUACCGGUGGCGAAGGCGGCCCCCUGGACAAAGACUGACGCUCAGGUGCGAAAGCGUGGGGAGCAAACAGGAUUAGAUACCCGAGUAGUCCCUGUCUCUUAUAC
RNAcentral lists this ribosomal RNA (301 nucleotides) under uncultured bacterium. RNAcentral describes it as "partial 16S ribosomal RNA". It matches the Rfam family "Bacterial small subunit ribosomal RNA", at positions 509 to 807 of the family's 1533-position model. The record is from RNAcentral.